AUCCAGGUGACGAGUCUCAAAUAGGACGAAACGCGCGUCCUGGAU
Molecule: non-coding RNA, 45 nt
Organism: Schistosoma mattheei
Lineage: Eukaryota; Metazoa; Platyhelminthes; Trematoda; Strigeidida; Schistosomatidae
Source: Rfam